Molecule: unclassified non-coding RNA, 752 nt
Filed under: Hevea brasiliensis (rubber tree)
Lineage: Eukaryota; Viridiplantae; Streptophyta; Magnoliopsida; Malpighiales; Euphorbiaceae
Source: RNAcentral
CAUUUCACUAGAUGCUUAUACUUGGAUCAUACAAAGUGAGCCUCAAAAUUGGGCUAAUGCAUUCUUUCAGGGUACUAGAUAUAACCAUAUGAUGUCUAACUUUGGAGAGAUGUUCUAUAGUUGGGCAUCAGAUGCUCAUGAAUUGCCGAUAACACAGAUGGUUGAUGCAAUACGGGGUAAGGUUAUGGAGUUGAUUUACACACAGCGGGCAGAAUCUGAUCUGUGGAUGACAAGGUUAACACCAUCCAUGGAGGAAAAACUUGAAAAGGAGAGCUUAAAGGCCCCCUCCCUUCAAGUGCUACUGUCUGCUGGUAGCACAUUUGAGGUUCGUGGUGAAUCAGUUGAAGUGGUUGACAUUGAUCGAUGGGAUUGUAGUUGCAAAGGGUGGCAGCUAACUGGUUUACCUUGCUGCCAUGCUGUUGCAGUCAUUAGUUGUAUUGGAAGGAGCCCAUAUGAAUAUUGUUCAAGAUAUUUCACAACUGAGAGCUACAGAUUAACUUAUUCAGAAUCAGUUCAUCCUAUACCAACUGUGGACUGGCCUGUCCCGAAAGAUUCUUCUCAACUUACAGUAACUGUAACCCCUCCUCCAACCCGACGCCCUCCAGGACGACCCACUACAAAGAGAUGUGGACCACAAGAUGUAGCUAAACGUCAGCUCCAGUGCAGUAGGUGCAAGGGUCUUGGACACAACAAAUCCACCUGCAAAGAGCUUUUGUAGAGUGUUAGAAGAGCUUUGUAAAGUUUAAGGCGCU